AGCUCCAAUAGCGAAUAUUAAAAUUGUUGCAGUUAAAAAGCUCGUAGUUGGAUCCAAGGUUGGGCAUGCCUGUCUGUUCUUAGUAGCAUGACUGUGUGUGUCCGCCUUUAUUAGUUGACUGUUCACUAUGGUGGUUUUUACCGACUGCUAUAGUGUGCUCAACACGUUUACCUUGAAAAAAUCAGAGCGAUCCAGGCAGGCCUUUGUGCUUGUAUGUUGUUGCAAGGAAUAAUAGAAUAGGACUUCGGUUCUAUUUUGUUGGUUUUGAGAAUUGAAGUAAUGAAUAAUAGAGACAGUCGGGGGCAUUUGUAUGGUGGCGUUAGAGGUGAAAUUCUGAGAUCGUCGCCAGACAAACUACUGCGAAAGCAUUUGCCAAGUAUGUCUUCAUUAAUCAAGAACG
This 400-nucleotide ribosomal RNA is filed under the name phytoplankton environmental sample. Its description in RNAcentral is "partial small subunit ribosomal RNA". It matches the Rfam family "Eukaryotic small subunit ribosomal RNA", at positions 587 to 985 of the family's 1831-position model. The record is from RNAcentral.